GACGAACGCUGGCGGCGUGCUUAACACAUGCCAGUCGAACGGAAAGACCCUGCUUUUGUGGGGUGCUCGAGUGGCGAACGGGUGAGUAACACGUGAGUAACCUGCCCUUGACUUUGGGAUAACUUCAGGAAACUGGGGCUAAUACCGGAUAGGAGCUCCUGCUGCAUGGUGGGGGUUGGAAAGUUUCGGCGGUUGGGGAUGGACUCGCGGCUUAUCAGCUUGUUGGUGGGGUAGUGGCUUACCAAGGCUUUGACGGGUAGCCGGCCUGAGAGGGUGACCGGCCACAUUGGGACUGAGAUACGGCCCAGACUCCUACGGGAGGCAGCAGUGGGGAAUAUUGCACAAUGGGCGGAAGCCUGAUGCAGCAACGCCGCGUGCGGGAUGACGGCCUUCGGGUUGUAAACCGCUUUCGCCUGUGACGAAGCGUGAGUGACGGUAAUGGGUAAAGAAGCACCGGCUAACUACGU
This 467-nucleotide ribosomal RNA is filed under the name uncultured bacterium. RNAcentral's name for it is "partial 16S ribosomal RNA". It matches the Rfam family "Bacterial small subunit ribosomal RNA", at positions 28 to 506 of the family's 1533-position model. The record is from RNAcentral.